This 273-nucleotide ribosomal RNA is filed under the name uncultured bacterium. RNAcentral describes it as "partial 16S ribosomal RNA". It matches the Rfam family "Bacterial small subunit ribosomal RNA", at positions 793 to 1055 of the family's 1533-position model. The record is from RNAcentral.
GUCCACGCUGUAAACGAUAAUCACUAGACGUUGGUUCUGUUUAACGGGAUCAGUGUCGAAGCUAACGCGUUAAGUGAUUCACCUGGGAAGUACGGUCGCAAGAUUAAAACUCAAAAUGAAUUGACGGGGGUCCGCACAAGCGGUGGAACAUGUGGUUUAAUUCGACACUACGCGAGGAACCUUACCUAGGCUUGACAUGUAUUUGACCGUCGUGGAAACACGAUUUUUCGGACUUCGGUUCGGACAGAUACACAGGUGCUGCAUGGCUGUCGU